RNAcentral lists this ribosomal RNA (489 nucleotides) under uncultured bacterium. RNAcentral describes it as "partial 16S ribosomal RNA". It matches the Rfam family "Bacterial small subunit ribosomal RNA", at positions 30 to 507 of the family's 1533-position model. The record is from RNAcentral.
UUGAACGCUGGCGGCAGGCCUAACACAUGCAAGUCGAACGGUAACAGAAAGCAGCUUGCUGCUUUGCUGACGAGUGGCGGACGGGUGAGUAAUGUCUGGGAAACUGCCUGAUGGAGGGGGAUAACUACUGGAAACGGUAGCUAAUACCGCAUAACGUCGCAAGACCAAAGAGGGGGACCUUCGGGCCUCUUGCCAUCGGAUGUGCCCAGAUGGGAUUAGCUUGUUGGUGGGGUAACGGCUCACCAAGGCGACGAUCCCUAGCUGGUCUGAGAGGAUGACCAGCCACCCUGGAACUGAGACACGGUCCAGACUCCUACGGGAGGCAGCAGUGGGGAAUAUUGCACAAUGGGCGCAAGCCUGAUGCAGCCAUGCCGCGUGUAUGAAGAAGGCCUUCGGGUUGUAAAGUACUUUCAGCGGGGAGGAAGGGAGUAAAGUUAAUACCUUUGCUCAUUGACGUUACCCGCAGAAGAAGCACCGGCUAACUCCGUG